This 142-nucleotide ribosomal RNA is filed under the name uncultured eukaryote. Its description in RNAcentral is "partial 18S ribosomal RNA". It matches the Rfam family "Eukaryotic small subunit ribosomal RNA", at positions 1299 to 1458 of the family's 1831-position model. The record is from RNAcentral.
UGGUGGAGUGAUUUGUCUGGUUAAUUCCGUUAACGAACGAGACCUCGACCUUGUUAAAUAGUCUCGCGUAUCUCCGGAUACGCGCAGUGCUUCUUAGAGGGACUAUCGGUGUCGUAGCCGAUGGAAGUUCGAGGCAAUAACA